This 745-nucleotide ribosomal RNA is filed under the name Leptolyngbya sp. CYN82. RNAcentral's name for it is "bacterial SSU rRNA". It matches the Rfam family "Bacterial small subunit ribosomal RNA", at positions 34 to 823 of the family's 1533-position model. Lineage: Bacteria; Bacillati; Cyanobacteriota; Cyanophyceae; Leptolyngbyales; Leptolyngbyaceae. The record is from RNAcentral. RNAcentral also lists the same sequence under 1 other name.
CGCUGGCGGUAUGCUUAACACAUGCAAGUCGAACGAGCUCUUCGGAGUUAGUGGCGGACGGGUGAGUAACGCGUGAGAAUCUGCCCUUAGGAGGGGGACAACAGCUGGAAACGGCUGCUAAUACCCCAUAUGCCGGAAGGUGAAAUCUAAUUGGCCUGAGGAUGAGCUCGCUGUCAGAUUAGCUAGUUGGUGUGGUAAUGGCGCACCAAGGCGACGAUCUGUAGCUGGUCUGAGAGGAUGAUCAGCCACACUGGGACUGAGACACGGCCCAGACUCCUACGGGAGGCAGCAGUGGGGAAUUUUCCGCAAUGGGCGAAAGCCUGACGGAGCAAUACCGCGUGAGGGAGGAAGGCUCUUGGGUUGUAAACCUCUUUUGUCAGGGAAGAAGAUCUGACGGUACCUGACGAAUCAGCAUCGGCUAACUCCGUGCCAGCAGCCGCGGUAAUACGGAGGAUGCAAGCGUUAUCCGGAUUUAUUGGGCGUAAAGCGUCCGCAGGUGGUUGUACAAGUCUGUUGUCAAAGCGUGGAGCUUAACUCCAUAACGGCGAUGGAAACUGUGCGACUAGAGUACGGCAGGGGUAGCGGGAAUUCCCAGUGUAGCGGUGAAAUGCGUAGAUAUUGGGAAGAACACCGGCGGCGAAAGCGCGCUACUGGGCCUGAACUGACACUCAUGGACGAAAGCUAGGGGAGCGAAAGGGAUUAGAUACCCCUGUAGUCCUAGCUGUAAACGAUGGAUACUAGGUGU